UACGAAGGGGGCUAGCGUUGUUCGGAAUUACUGGGCGUAAAGCGCGCGCAGGCGGGUCAUCAAGUCAGGGGUGAAAGCCCAGAGCUCAACUCCGGAAAUGCCUUCAAAACUGCUAAGCUAGAGAUCGGAAGAGGAGAGUGGAAUACCCAGUGUAGAGGUGGAAUUCGUAGAUAUUGGGUAGAACACCAGUGGCGAAGGCGGCUCUCUGGUCCGAUACUGACGCUGAGGUGCGAAAGCGUGGGGAGCAAACAGG
This 253-nucleotide ribosomal RNA is filed under the name uncultured bacterium. RNAcentral describes it as "partial 16S ribosomal RNA". It matches the Rfam family "Bacterial small subunit ribosomal RNA", at positions 524 to 776 of the family's 1533-position model. The record is from RNAcentral.